This 1025-nucleotide ribosomal RNA is filed under the name Pseudomonas sp. C2W-15B. Its description in RNAcentral is "bacterial SSU rRNA". It matches the Rfam family "Bacterial small subunit ribosomal RNA", at positions 116 to 1135 of the family's 1533-position model. Lineage: Bacteria; Pseudomonadati; Pseudomonadota; Gammaproteobacteria; Pseudomonadales; Pseudomonadaceae. The record is from RNAcentral.
CCUAGGAAUCUGCCUAGUGGUGGGGGAUAACGUUCGGAAACGGACGCUAAUACCGCAUACGUCCUACGGGAGAAAGCGGGGGACCUUCGGGCCUCGCGCCAUUAGAUGAGCCUAGGUCGGAUUAGCUAGUUGGUGAGGUAACGGCUCACCAAGGCAACGAUCCGUAACUGGUCUGAGAGGAUGAUCAGUCACACUGGAACUGAGACACGGUCCAGACUCCUACGGGAGGCAGCAGUGGGGAAUAUUGGACAAUGGGCGAAAGCCUGAUCCAGCCAUGCCGCGUGUGUGAAGAAGGUCUUCGGAUUGUAAAGCACUUUAAGUUGGGAGGAAGGGCAGUAACUUAAUACGUUGCUGUUUUGACGUUACCGACAGAAUAAGCACCGGCUAACUCUGUGCCAGCAGCCGCGGUAAUACAGAGGGUGCAAGCGUUAAUCGGAAUUACUGGGCGUAAAGCGCGCGUAGGUGGUUUGUUAAGUUGGGUGUGAAAGCCCCGGGCUCAACCUGGGAACUGCAUCCAAAACUGGCCAACUAGAGUACAGUAGAGGGUGGUGGAAUUUCCUGUGUAGCGGUGAAAUGCGUAGAUAUAGGAAGGAACACCAGUGGCGAAGGCGACCACCUGGACUGAUACUGACACUGAGGUGCGAAAGCGUGGGGAGCAAACAGGAUUAGAUACCCUGGUAGUCCACGCCGUAAACGAUGUCAACUAGCCGUUGGGGUCCUUGAGGACUUAGUGGCGCAGCUAACGCAUUAAGUUGACCGCCUGGGGAGUACGGCCGCAAGGUUAAAACUCAAAUGAAUUGACUGGGGGCCCGCACAAGCGGUGGAGCAUGUGGUCUAAUUCGAAGCAACGCGAAGAACCUUACCAGGCCUUGACAUCUACAGAACUUUCCAGAGAUGGAUUGGUGCCUUCGGGAACUGUAAGACAGGUGCUGCAUGGCUGUCGUCAGCUCGUGGUCGUGAGAUUGUUGGUUAAGUCCCGUAACGAGCGCAACCCUUGUCCUAUAGUUACCACACGUAAUGGUGGG